Molecule: long non-coding RNA, 220 nt
Filed under: Panax ginseng (ginseng)
Lineage: Eukaryota; Viridiplantae; Streptophyta; Magnoliopsida; Apiales; Araliaceae
Description: long non-coding RNA (PGIN_LNC001018)
Source: RNAcentral
GGCAAGUCAAGAAAUGAUAUCCUUAGGCUGCAAACCUGGACAAGGGUUAGGAAAGUAUCAUAAGGGCAUUAAGCGGGGACAACCGGACUAGGCUAUUCUUCUAGCUCCAGUCACAGGAAUCCUCACAAACCCAAAAAGGUUCCUUCAUCUUCAUCCCCACAAUGAUUGCCUAAACCUACAAAAGUUAAGCCUGUACGACCUUCAUUAAAGGUUCCUGCCC